GGCAAACAGCUAGCGUCUCGGGCAAGAUGGUGGCCAGAGCUUUUGCCUCCCGCUUCCGAGGCUCCCGACGCUUUUUGAGUGGCUUCGUGGCUGGAGCCGUCGCGGGCGCUGUGGGAACCGGGCUAACUGUCGUGCAGUUCCUCCGGAGUCAGGACGCUGAGCCAGCGUUGGCGGUGACGGAGCCGGACGGUUCUUCAGAAAGGGCUCUCUUAGAACAAUUUGGAUUCCCUUUAACUGGAACAGAGACGAGGUGCUACACUAACCAUGCCUUGUCUUAUGAUCAGUCAAAGCGGGUGCCUAGAUGGGUUCUUGAACAUAUAUCCAAGAGCAAGAUAACGGGUGAUGCAGACAGAAAACAUUGUAAAUUCAAGCCAGAUCCCAACAUCCCUCCAACCUUCAGUGCCUUCAACGAGGACUAUGUUGGCAGUGGGUGGUCACGAGGCCACAUGGCUCCAGCAGGAGAUAACAAAUUCUCAUCUAAAGCCAUGGCUGAAACCUUUUACCUUUCUAAUAUCGUGCCUCAGAAUUUUGAUAAUAAUGCUGGUUAUUGGAACAGAAUGGAAAUGUACUGUCGAGAACUGACAGAGAGGUUUGAGGACGUCUGGAUAGUAUCUGGACCGCUGACCUUACCUCAGACUGGAAGCAAUGGAAGGAAAACGGUUAGUUACCAGGUGAUCGGCGAGGACAAUGUUGCGGUGCCCUCCCACCUCUACAAGGUGAUCCUGGCGCGCAGAAACCCGAGGUCUGCUGAGCCCCUGGCACUAGGGGCCUUCGUGGUGCCCAACAAGGCCAUUGGCUUCCAGCCCCAAUUAAGUGAGUUCCAGGUGAGCCUGCAGGAGCUGGAGAAGUUGUCAGGACUGGUGUUUUUCCCUCAUCUGGAUAGGACUAGUGACAUCAAGAACAUCUGCUCGGUGGACACCUGUAAGCUCCUGGAUUUCAGGGAGUUCACUCUGUACCUGAGUACAAGAAAGAUUGAGGGAGCCCGAUCGGUACUCAGACUGGAAAAGGUCAUGGAAAAUUUGCAGAACGCAGGCAUUGAACCUGAUGAGGAGUUCAUGACUCGCUACAAGAAGAAGCUGGAAGAACUCAAAGCUCAGGAGCAGUCAGGAGUCCUGGAGAGAAAGUCCUCGUAGUUCACGUCUCAGAAGCGUGAUGUCAUCUGUCAUGAAGCAGCUACCCUCUGAGGGAAAUACCACUAUCCUCAUUUUACCCUUGAGGAAAUCGAGGCUUAGAGAGCUGAAGUAUUUUGCCCAAGGUUCAUCUUCCCAAAGAAGUAAUCCACAAGGAAUGAGGCAUAUAACAUGGGGUACGUUAAAAUCUUCCCUGACACAGAGGCUCAAGGACAUACCUCCGUGGGUGUCUGUGAUCCUGGGGCUUGCUUGGUAAGAGGGGUCUGGUUUCUUGUCUGCAGUCGAGCCAUAGGGACUUGAAUGUCCUCUGACUUGAACUCUCCUUAGUUCUUUGGGAAGAAACAGUCACAGGUAUUUGAAUGUUAGAGGACAGUGCUUCCUGGGGUUUAUCUGAGUCUCUGCUGGCCUUCAGAAAUGCAGUUCUUCUAGUGCCUGGCUGGUGCCAAAUCGAUGUGUUCCUUGCUUUCCAGAUGGGCUUUUUGUGAAUCUCUGCCCACAGAUUCACCAGCUCAUGGCUUGCUCGCCUUUGUGCCUGCCUGUCUACCUGGUUGGCCCAAAGACCCAAAGACAGUUAGUUACCUCUGGGGGAAACAGUGUCUGUUUUUCUGAGCCAGAUCUCUAGAUUUGGGUUUACGUGGAAUCCUUUCAUGGGCUGUCAUAAGUGCAGACAGUAAUAUAUCUUCAAAUAGAGCAUAGGAACUUGUCUGUGUCCUGUCAGUACUGUCUUUCCAAGUGGUGUUACCAGAACAGUUUUUGUGGUGUUUUUGUGUUUGUCUCUAACAGAAAUGCCAAGGUGUUAAGAUAAAGGUAAGAUGAGAUGGUUGAUCUUGUUCUGCUUUAUUCGGGUAAACAAGAAAGAAGUUGGGGGGUCAGAACACUUCAGCCCGGUUAAUGCCGGCCUGUUUUAUCCCACUGUUCCCCAUUAGCUUGUGCCAGUCUCUUUCUUCUCAAGGAGAAAGAGCCCAAAUGUCACUGUGACCAAAAACAUCUGUUACUUUUUCUCCUUCUUGAAGAGGUGACAGUGGGGUCUGGGUGUUCUUCCAGGAGCCCGAGGGCGGCUCUGUGGGAGAGGUCCUACCGCCCAUCUCCAGAGUAACAUCUUUAUUUCGAGACUUCAGGCUCUUUGGUCUAUGGAUUGAGACUGUUUCACCUAUAUCGUAUGCAGCAAAGGGGGACCUUACACAAGUGGCAAAGGACUUAGAAUAGAGCCCAGCAGGAGAUAGAGUCUGAUCUCAAGGGAAUGAAUGGCUUCCUACAGAGCUGGGCUCAGCCUGCAGCCCUGCUCUUGGAGUGACCAAUGUGAUCUAAGUAUAGAAACAGUGGGCUGGAGAGGAUAGAAAGUACGAUGGUCAUUGUUGCCUCAUUGCGAAAGUGACAUCCGAGGAAAGAGGGGCGCCAUGCACUCUCUGGGAGAAGACUGUGACGGAGUGGGAACAGCCACUGCUGAAGCCCUCAGGUGAGGCGUGCACGGCCUGGGCAGGAGCCAGCAGGGAGCUGGUGUGGCUGAAGUGGAGCAGGAGCUGGGGUUGUAGACGGGCUCAGACAGGCCCUGGGGAGCGGGGUGCAUUGGGGGGCUGCAGAGGGCUCAGGCUGUUCUCUGAGUGUGAUGGGGGCCACUCGGGGGUUCUGUGCAACUUGCCUUUUAAUAGACGCCACUGGCUGCUGUGUUGAGAAAGGUCUGGGCCAAGGACCAACCAGGAGGCCUUUGUAAGAAUCCAGGUAAGAGGCGUUGGUGGCUCAGACCAGCAUGGCGACGGUGGUGUUGAGGAGUGGUCUGACUUGGGAUAUAUUCUGAAGGCAGAGCCGGCAGGAUUUCCUGCUGGAUUGGAUGUGGGGUGUGUGAGAGAGAGGGGGUAGGGAUGAUGCCAGGGUUUUUGGCCUGAGCAGCUGGAGCUCCAGCUGAAAACCCCAUGGGGGCUGCUGACCGGUGUUACCUGUCCCCUGGGGCCUGUGGCUGAAGUCAAGACAGACAUGGGAGGGCUCGGCCCUGCUCCUGGCUCUGGGGCUCAGGGGAUGGGCUGCCUGUACUGGUUAUUCCAUUACCCUUUAUUUAUUGGCCUUAUUGGCUUUUGUCAUUUCCUCAUUGUCUCCUGUCUGGAGAGAAGACUAUAAAUGUGAUGGAUUGAUACAGGAUACAGGAGGCCCAAUUAUCUCUAUCGAGCCAGCCUCUCCUCUUGGUCAAGCCCUCCCCGUUCUCCAUCUUUGCAGCAUCUCCCAUUGCCUUGCAGGCAGAAGCAGCCUGGUCCCUGGCUGUCCAGGAAGAGGGAGUGCAGCCCAAGAGGCAGGUGCCUGGCAGCUGCCCGUGGAUGCCAGCCCCGUGAACUGGCCUGGGAGGAAGUGCCUGUCGGAGUGGUGAUUGUACGUGCUGGGCUUGGGCUUGGGCUUGGCCCUGGCCCGUCCCCUGCCCUCCAGGCUGACUUGGGACGCCCACAGGAGAGCGGCGCCAUGGGUGGGGGCCCCCGGGGUCCCUCUGGGAUCCCCCACAGGAUCCCCUGAGACAGAGCUUGGCAGCUGCCGGGCUUUGAGUGUCAUUUCUGAACCAAAUCCCUCGGCCCCCACCUCAGGCCUGUCUGCCUGCCUCUGUCCCUGGGAAUGUCCUGAGGCCCCUGGUCCAGGGUGGUUGGGACAGGAAGCCUGAGGUUCCUUCUUAGGAUUUCAGGCAUCUCCCUAUGGUCACGCCCCGCUCGCUCCCCAACACCGACCCUGGUUGCUGUGCCUUGAGUGUGCAUGUGUGUGAAUCCGCACCUGCCUCUCCAUGUAGGCGAGGAUCUCCUGUAGGUGGCGUCCUUCCAGAAGAACAGAGUGGAAGGUGGGGCUGUGGGUGAGAAUAGGAGCCAGGGACCUAAGAGGACAGAAGGGCAGGAAAGACUCAAAUGGAGGAGAGGAUCCAGGUGAACCCAGUGGACGGUGAACGGCUGGGUUGAGGGGCUGCUCUCUGUGCCAGGCACGGGGCGGGGGCCAGAGAGUGUGGUGCGAGCGGGCCGGCCUAGCCUUCCCCAGCCCUCAGGCAGCGCACAGGACGGUGAGCUGGAGGGGUGUGCAGGAGACACAGUCCUGCGGCUUCCCCAGCCCAUCCGCGGUGGCCUUUGGCACCUCCUAGCUCUCGGCCGCUGCCCGCUCUGUCUCCGCCUGUAGGAGUGAGUGCCUGUGCUGUCUCCCUGCCCCUCCCAGCCUCCCAGCACUGAGUCUCGUGGCCGUCAAGGCUGAGGUGGAAGAGUGGCUGGCACGGGGCAGGGAGCAGCCUGGCCCCAGGGUGAGAGCUGACGUCUGUCCAGGAGCAUCUCUCUCCCUGCCAAGGGCUGAGAUCCUGGGCUGCAUGCCUGCCUUCUGACACAGGAGCCGGCAUCCGCCCCUCAUGGAACCUGGACCCCAGGCUCACCCCAGUGGCCGGGUGACAGCUGUGGCGGUGUGGUGACCGCAAGGCCCACUCUUGCCUCCCUCCAGAUGCGCCUGACACCUCCCAGGCCACUUCAGGCGGCUACAGAGACCCACACAAGGGGCCCCACGCCCAGAAUCCAAGUUUUGGCUUCAAGAACAGUGAGGAGCUCCUGCACUGGCCCAUUCCAAGCAGUAGUGACCUGGAGCAUGUCAGAGGGGAGGCCUGGCCCUUUACUGCUUAUGGGCAAAUCCCAACCCUGGAAAACCACUUUGCUGAAGGUGCUAUUGUCCAGAGGUGGGGCAACCCUAAGGAAGAAGGAUGGAGGUGGGAACCUUCCCAGCAGAUGUGGAGACCAGGUGACUUUUCAAAGCUCUUCCGGCCCUGAGAGUCCACCACCCUUUGGGUGCACUGGGCUUGUUUUAGCUGUAGGAGGGCCCGCCUGGAUCUAGAGAUUGUGGUCCCGUGCAGAGGGCACCAGGCACUACAGGUCCAAGGGGGGCUUCAUUUGCUGGCAGAUCCUCCCCAGCUCCCUCAGCCCCAUGACAGUCCAGCCUUGGGACCCAAGCCUGCUCAGGCUCCAGGAAUGUGACACUAGCCCAGGUCACUGAGGCCUGAGGGGAGCAUGGUAGGCAUUUCUUUUUUUUUUUUUUUAAUUUUUGUUUUCUAUUGGAGUACAGUUGAUUUACAAUGUUGUGUGUUUUUAGGUGUUUGGCAACUUG
Delphinapterus leucas (beluga whale) is the source of this 5228-nucleotide non-coding RNA. Lineage: Eukaryota; Metazoa; Chordata; Mammalia; Artiodactyla; Monodontidae. The record is from RefSeq and is a predicted model, not a curated record.